UACGUAGGGGGCAAGCGUUGUCCGGAAUCAUUGGGCGUAAAGCGCGCGUAGGCGGCCCGGUAAGUCCGUUGUGAAAGUCAAAGGCUCAACCUUUGAACGCCGGUGGAUACUGUCGAGCUCGAGUCCGGAAGAGGCGAGUGGAAUUCCUGGUGUAGCGGUGAAAUGCGCAGAUAUCAGGAGGAACACCAAUGGCGAAGGCAGCUCGCUGGGACGUGACUGACGCUGAGACGCGAAAGCGUGGGGAGCAAACAGG
Molecule: ribosomal RNA, 253 nt
Filed under: uncultured bacterium
Lineage: Bacteria
Description: partial 16S ribosomal RNA
Rfam family: Bacterial small subunit ribosomal RNA
Source: RNAcentral